Molecule: unclassified non-coding RNA, 288 nt
Filed under: uncultured fungus
Lineage: Eukaryota; Fungi
Description: partial contains small subunit ribosomal RNA, internal transcribed spacer 1, and 5.8S ribosomal RNA
Rfam family: Eukaryotic small subunit ribosomal RNA (bases 1-73)
Source: RNAcentral
UCAAACUUGGUCAUUUAGAGGAAGUAAAAGUCGUAACAAGGUUUCCGUAGGUGAACCUGCGGAAGGAUCAUUACUGAGAACUUGCCCCACCUGGGGUAGAUCUCCCACCCUUUGUUUACCGUACGCUUGUUGCUUUGGCAGGCCCGUCCUUAGGGACCGCCGGCUUUGGCUGGUCAGCUGCUUGCCAGAGAAUCUUAAACUCUUGAUAUUUUGUUGUCCGAGUACUGCAGAAUGAUUAAAACUUUCAACAACGGAUCUCUUGGUUCUGGCAUCGAUGAAGAACGCAGC